AUUGAACGCUGGCGGCAGGCCUAACACAUGCAAGUCGAGCGGAUGAAGGGAGCUUGCUCCUGGAUUCAGCGGCGGACGGGUGAGUAAUGCCUAGGAAUCUGCCUGGUAGUGGGGGAUAACGUCCGGAAACGGGCGCUAAUACCGCAUACGUCCUGAGGGAGAAAGUGGGGGAUCUUCGGACCUCACGCUAUCAGAUGAGCCUAGGUCGGAUUAGCUAGUUGGUGGGGUAAAGGCCUACCAAGGCGACGAUCCGUAACUGGUCUGAGAGGAUGAUCAGUCCCCCUGGGACCUGGGAACCGUCCCAGCCCCCUCCGGGGGGCGCAGUGGGGAAUUUUUGGCCAUGGGGCGAAACCCUGACCCACCCUUCCCGGGUGUGUAAAAAGGGUUUUCGGUUUUUAAACCCCUUUAUUUUGGGAGGAAGGGAAGUAAUUUAUACCCUUGUUUUUUUGCCGUUCCCAACAAAAAAGCCCCCGCCAACCUUCUU
Molecule: ribosomal RNA, 484 nt
Filed under: uncultured bacterium
Lineage: Bacteria
Description: partial 16S ribosomal RNA
Rfam family: Bacterial small subunit ribosomal RNA
Source: RNAcentral